This 345-nucleotide unclassified non-coding RNA is filed under the name soil metagenome. Its description in RNAcentral is "partial contains 5.8S ribosomal RNA, internal transcribed spacer 2, and large subunit ribosomal RNA". The stretch from base 1 to 119 matches the Rfam family "5.8S ribosomal RNA", at positions 35 to 154 of the family's 154-position model. The record is from RNAcentral.
GAUGAAGAACGUAGCGAAAUGCGAUACGUAAUGUGAAUUGCAAAUUCAGUGAAUCAUCGAGUCUUUGAACGCACAUUGCGCCCCCUGGUAUUCCGGGGGGCAUGCCUGUCCGAGCGUCAUUGCUGCCCUCAAGCACGGCUUGUGUGUUGGGCCCCGUCCUCCGAUCCCGGGGGACGGGCCCGAAAGGCAGCGGCGGCACCGCGUCCGGUCCUCGAGCGUAUGGGGCUUUGUCACCCGCUCUGUAGGCCCGGCCGGCGCUUGCCGAUCAACCCAAAUUUUGAUCCAGGUUGACCUCGGAUCAGGUAGGGAUACCCGCUGAACUUAAGCAUAUCAAUAAGCGGAGGA